CAUGCAAGUCGAACGAAGGCUUCGGCCUUAGUGGCGCACGGGUGCGUAACGCGUGGGAAUCUGCCCUUGGGUUCGGAAUAACAGUGAGAAAUUACUGCUAAUACCGGAUGAUGUCGAAAGACCAAAGAUUUAUCGCCCGAGGAUGAGCCCGCGUAGGAUUAGCUAGUUGGUGAGGUAAGAGCUCACCAAGGCGACGAUCCUUAGCUGGUCUGAGAGGAUGAUCAGCCACACUGGGACUGAGACACGGCCCAGACUCCUACGGGAGGCAGCAGUGGGGAAUAUUGGACAAUGGGCGCAAGCCUGAUCCAGCCAUGCCGCGUGGAUGAUGAAGGCCCUAGGGUUGUAAAGUCCUUUCGACGGGGAAGAUAAUGACGGUACCCGUAGAAGAAGCCCCGGCUAACUUCGUGCCAGCAGCCGCGGUAAUACGAAGGGGGCUAGCGUUGCUCGGAAUCACUGGGCGUAAAGCGCACGUAGGCGGGUUCUUAAGUCGGUGGUGAAAUCCUGGAGCUCAACUCCAGAACUGCCUCCGAUACUGAGGGCCUCGAGUCCGGGAGAGGUGAGUGGAACUGCGAGUGUAGAGGUGAAAUUCGUAGAUAUUCGCAAGAACACCAGUGGCGAAAGCGGCUCACUGGCCCGGUACUGACGCUGA
RNAcentral lists this ribosomal RNA (649 nucleotides) under uncultured bacterium. RNAcentral describes it as "bacterial SSU rRNA". It matches the Rfam family "Bacterial small subunit ribosomal RNA", at positions 54 to 749 of the family's 1533-position model. The record is from RNAcentral.